AGUGGACGCUGGCGGUAGGCCUAACACAUGCAAGUCGAACGGCAGCACAGUAAGAGCUUGCUCUUACGGGUGGCGAGUGGCGGACGGGUGAGGAAUACAUCGGAAUCUACUUUUUCGUGGGGGAUAACGUAGGGAAACUUACGCUAAUACCGCAUACGACCUACGGGUGAAAGCAGGGGAUCUUCGGACCUUGCGCGAUUCAAUGAGCCGAUGUCGGAUUAGCUAGUUGGCGGGGUAAAGGCCCACCAAGGCGACGAUCCGUAGCUGGUCUGAGAGGAUGAUCAGCCACACUGGAACUGAGACACGGUCCAGACUCCUACGGGAGGCAGCAGUGGGGAAUAUUGGACAAUGGGCGCAAGCCUGAUCCAGCCAUACCGCGUGGGUGAAGAAGGCCUUCGGGUUGUAAAGCCCUUUUGUUGGGAAAGAAAAGCAGCAGGUUAAUACCCCGCUGUUCUGACGGUACCCAAAGAAUAAGCACCGGCUAACUUCGUG
RNAcentral lists this ribosomal RNA (492 nucleotides) under uncultured bacterium. RNAcentral's name for it is "partial 16S ribosomal RNA". It matches the Rfam family "Bacterial small subunit ribosomal RNA", at positions 29 to 507 of the family's 1533-position model. The record is from RNAcentral.